UACAACAGAUAGAUUUAACUACCUGAUUUAUUUAAGAAUAAUGAACAAAAUUAAGAAAUUAAUCUCAGAAGCUAAGCAGGGUCAGACCUGGUUAGUACUUGGAUGGGAGACCUAGGAAGACCAGGUGCUGUUGGCA
Molecule: ribosomal RNA, 136 nt
Organism: Pteropus vampyrus (large flying fox)
Lineage: Eukaryota; Metazoa; Chordata; Mammalia; Chiroptera; Pteropodidae
Source: Ensembl